This 211-nucleotide ribosomal RNA is filed under the name uncultured bacterium. RNAcentral's name for it is "partial 16S ribosomal RNA". It matches the Rfam family "Bacterial small subunit ribosomal RNA", at positions 524 to 734 of the family's 1533-position model. The record is from RNAcentral.
UACAGAGGUCUCAAGCGUUGUUCGGAUUCAUCGGGCGUAAAGGGUGCGUAGGUGGCAUGGUAAGUCGGAUGUGAAAUCCCGGGGCUCAACCCCGGAACUGCAUUCGAUACUGCUGCGCUAGAGUACUGGAGAGGAGAUUGGAAUUUACGGUGUAGCAGUGAAAUGCGUAGAUAUCGUAAGGAAGACCAGUGGCGAAGGCGGAUCUCUGGAC